AGGGGUGGACUGGCCAUCUGGCAUACCGGGCAUCGUCCCGGUGGGCCGUUGACCCAAUGUGGGCCGGUCCGGUCCGCUAUGUUAUUUUGUUUUGUUUUUUUCCUCUAAAUUCCCUCCAUUUGGGCCGGCCGAUUGGCUGCAGAGGGCUAGCAGUGUGUUGCCAGCAUCGACACAUAUUAUUGGUCUAUUGUUUGUCAUUGUCAAUCAAUCAUGGGCUGACAGGCUCAGAGAGCCCUGACAGUGCUGUCAAUCACAACACAAACCAGGGUGGGCGGGACCUCAUGCCAUGGGCGGGAGUCGCGAGACGGGCUGCUGCUGAGCUGAAGAUGGAUAAGCGGAAGAAACGCCCGGGUGGCGCUGAAAAACUGCGACUUAAAAAGCUAAAGUCUCUGGAGGUGGCGGCUGCUAAAUAUUCUAAAUUGACGGACCUAUCUGGUGCCGGGGUCACCACCCAAGCAGGUGCUGCCGCGCCGGGAGACGAGCGAGAGGAGACAUACACGGUUGACCACCCUAUAUAUGAGAGCCUAAGGAGUUGUUUUCCCUCUGUCCCCUUUUGAGGACCUCCUUUGUCUCCUCCAUCAUUCACUGGGCCACUUUUGGGUUCCUGAGCUCAUUUCAUGUGGUUUUCCUGACCUGCUAGAAGUUCUUUUAUGAUGCUUGAGUCAUCCAUCAUAUCUGAGAGCUUCGUCUUGACUUUGUCAUGAAUUUGGUGAGGAGCGGAGCUGGCUGGCUGCGGACGAGGAAGUAGGGCAAUACAUACUUGUGCACAUACACGUAUAUGAGAAUGCAUAUCUAUUCAGACCUGUAACCCAUGUCUUAGACUUUUUCACACAGCUAUAUAUAUUUUUUUUUCUCACCGUUGAGCGAGUGAGUUUCAGCUCUAAUGCUGCUACUGUCUGUAAUAUGUUUCUAUUUAGAUUAUUUGUCAGGAUAUUUUUUUGUUAUUAUUGUCCGAGUCUGGUUUUAACUAAUGCUGGGCUUACAGACUAAAAACUGAAAGGGUAGCAUAAAGGUUCUUCCCGUUAGUCUCGUCCCACCCCUAGUCAUGACAUAACUUCUGAUAUGAUUUGACACUAUAAUGAAUAAAGAUUGAUUGAUUGAUUGCUAUAGCUGUCAAUUUUAGUCCUUGAGUUCAUAGUUAAGUGCUUUAUUUGUUAACUGCUAUCAAGGAAUAUGACUCUUCUUUGUAGUAUGCAUGAGAGAAGAUGCUGCGAGAUUAGUGGACUUCUAUGUAGUGUCCGCUGAUAAUGUAGUGGGCUGGUCUGGACAGAAAAUGCCAGGGCUGAAUUUUUGUCCCAGUCCACCCCUGACCUCCGCCAUCAUCCCGGGGACAAAACAAUCUAAUGAACUGGCC
Molecule: long non-coding RNA, 1354 nt
Organism: Seriola aureovittata
Lineage: Eukaryota; Metazoa; Chordata; Actinopteri; Carangiformes; Carangidae
Exons: 4
Source: RefSeq, a predicted model, not a curated record